RNAcentral lists this non-coding RNA (142 nucleotides) under Ctenophora environmental sample. Lineage: Eukaryota; Metazoa; Ctenophora. The record is from RNAcentral.
UGUACAUAUGUACAACACGAAAGGAAGAAAGGAAGAAAGAAAGAAAGAAAGAAAAGAAAAGAAAAGAAAAGAAAAGGCCAAGAAUAACACACUCCCCUUUCUGCUUCCUUCUUCUUCCUUCUUCUUCCUUCUUCUUCCUUCU